CAAUAGCGUAUAUUUAAGUUGUUGCAGUUAAAAAGCUCGUAGUUGGAUUUCGGGUGGGACGCAGCGGUCUCGCAUUGCGUUUGUACUGCUGCAGCCCUCCUUCUUGCCGGGGGCGGCCUCUCGGAUUUCACUGUCUGGGGGUCAGAAUCGGCGAUGUUACUUUGAGUAAAUUAGAGUGUUCAAAGCAAGCUUACGCUCUGAAUAUAAUAGCAUGGGAUAACACGACAGGACUCUGGCCUAUCGUGUUGGUCUAUAGGACCAGAGUAAUGAUUAAGAGGGACAGUCGGGGGCAUUCGUAUUCCGUUGUCAGAGGUGAAAUUCUUGGAUUUACGGAAGACGAACAUCUGCGAAAGCAUUUGCCAAGGAUGUUUUCAUUGA
RNAcentral lists this ribosomal RNA (378 nucleotides) under uncultured eukaryote. RNAcentral's name for it is "partial 18S ribosomal RNA". It matches the Rfam family "Eukaryotic small subunit ribosomal RNA", at positions 592 to 976 of the family's 1831-position model. The record is from RNAcentral.